Molecule: long non-coding RNA, 1090 nt
Filed under: Salmo salar (Atlantic salmon)
Lineage: Eukaryota; Metazoa; Chordata; Actinopteri; Salmoniformes; Salmonidae
Description: lncRNA (ENSSSAG00000100440.1, ENSSSAG00000102424.1)
Source: RNAcentral
GUAUCUUGACUCUCAACGCUUUGUCGUCUAACCUUCAAUUCUUCAGCAGUUGAAACAAAUGAUCUUACUCUUCUGAAUCACCAAGAUAUCUUUCCCUGCUACUUCACCUUCACUGAACAACCCGAGGUCAUCUGCCUUUGGCCUAAAGACCAGGAACCUGGGCUUCACCAAAUAAGUUAGAGACAUUGUUAUCCUACAAGAAACAUUGUAUAGAGGAGAUGGACCCACUGGUUGCCUUCUAGGUUACAGAGAGCUGGAAGUCCCAUCCACCAAACUUUUACAGGAGUACAACAGGGAAGAGACUCAGGGGAACUGGUCAAGAACCUGACACCCUCAGCACACAGGGGGACAAAUACCUACCUGGAGGUGACAGCUUUCCCUCCACCAUAUGCCCCCCUAGACACAACCAACAAAAACUGGUCACAACUCCUGCAGCUCUGUUGGACGCCAGAACGGAGGUGGAUUAUCCAUUCGCUGAUGCAGUCUCGCCAGACAUCCGGCUUUUUGACGGCUGUAACACCAAUUCCUCUUCAUACGAAUGUUGGAGAUUUGGGCCUGGUCCGGGAGGAGAUCAUAUCCUUUGCGUCUGACUCAUUAAAGGAAUAAUCCUCAUUCAGUUGAAGGUGACUGUAGCAGCAGAGACAGAGGCCCUGACCGGUCUUGGCCCACUCCAGAACACCGACUCGUGCCAGUUUAUCAUCACCCGGACACUAAUCGGUACUGACACCUACCACAGUAUCCCCUUCGUAAACAAAGAGAAGACAGAGUUCUGAAUAGAGAAGGACCUACCGUAGCUCGAACCAGAGGGAGAGGCAUAGUGCUCGGUUCAAUAAAGGUUUGCUUGAAUCCCAGCCUUUGCGAUACACUCUAAAAAUAGAAAGAGAGACAGAGACAAACAGAGAGACACAGAGAGACAGACAGAGAGAGACAGAGUGAGGAAGAUAGAGAGAGAGAAAGAUGGAGAGAAAGAGAGAGACAGAGAGAGAGAGGGAGGAUAUAUUUCAGGUUAUAGCUCAUAGCAGCUCCCUUGGAACCAAUGUCUCAGAUAUGGAGAUGUGUUUACUCUGCUCACUCAGCCUCAGACACAACA